Pan troglodytes (chimpanzee) is the source of this 1742-nucleotide long non-coding RNA. RefSeq lists it as uncharacterized. The transcript is spliced from 5 exons. Lineage: Eukaryota; Metazoa; Chordata; Mammalia; Primates; Hominidae. The record is from RefSeq and is a predicted model, not a curated record.
GGCGGCGGGAUUAAUUAAAGACCCGAUCAAGCGGCCCGCAGAGGGGCGUGACCUUGUUUCCUCAGGAGCGUGGCGGUGGUCUUACUACUAUGUUCGUUAUAGCGCGGCAGAAAGAAGAAAUGUUAUGACAACAGAGCAGCAAGUCCCAUGGUCCUAGCUAAAAGGCGGUACGGCUGUGACUGCUGAGAUGGAGAGUCCUCAAAGAGGGAGUCUCGCUCUGUCGCCAGGCUGGAGUGAAGUGGCACAAUCUCAGAUCACUGCAACCUCUGCCUCCCAAGUUCAAGCAAUUCUCCUGCCUCAGCCUCCCGAGUAGCUGUGACUACAGGGAAUUAAACUUAUGGUCUCUCACCUGAGCAUGGAGUGGAAAUGGGCAUAUAAGGUAAUCACAGAAGUUAUCACACCUACACCCUUCCCAGUAUAUGGAUGUACUAGGGAGGAAGAUUCCAUGGAAGAGGUAAAAUCCCCCCCCAUGCUUCAUUAUAGAAAGAAAAAGAGAACACUCUCUUCCUAACAGAACGGACCACUGUCUCAGCAUGUGGGAUGGUGAUAAUGAGGGAAUGAUUACCUACCAUCAGAUCAACAAUUAGUAUACACUGAAAUUACAAUGACUGUGAGACUGACCUAAGUGUGAAUAUACAACUUCUGAGCUUCCACUGCCUUUGGAGGGAUCACCACCAGGAUGCAGUCUAAAGGAAACUGUAGUGGUUUUAAAACAUUUACAACUUAAUUCUAAUGUUCAUGCACAUUUGAGACUGUGAAGUUAAAUGUAAUACAGCUGUAAGUACUCAGAUUAAUAUACAAAAUUUUAGUAAAUACUAAAAAACUUACCUAGAUUUAUCCAAAUUCCACCUGGCUUGAGUAUUUUCCAUAUUGUAUCAAUAUAAUCAAUUACAUUGUGAGCUGUGUCUAUGAAGAAACAGGUAGCAAUACAGUCCCAGGUAUCUAAUGAAGAAAAAUCAAAUUACUGCAUCUGUUAUGUUAUUUUGCUUUUUUCUUUUAAUUAAUUAUUUAAAUCUGCCAGUUACCUUUUACAGAGUAUUAAUAUUUGACAGAGAUACAGAAGCUAAACUUCUGAUCAACAUUAUAAUUACAGUAACCAACAGUCAUUUAUGGGAAAUACUGAUAUCAAUAAUCUGAUUAAGUAAUCAAUUUGGAAAUCAUCCCCAAUAACACUAAUAUUAUAAUCUAAUCUCUACAUAUUAUUACCAAAUGGUAUUUGUUAGAGUUUUGUUUAUCCUCUAUUCAACUUCUAGCCUUCAUUUAAAAUCACUUAAAACAAAAUAAUAGUCAUUCAAAUUUAAACUAGUGUUAACCACCAAUUCUGGCAGGUUUCAGAAAGACUGCAGGCACCGGUUGCCAACUGAGAAAUGAAUGACAUCCAAAUACUUCAACAUCUACCACAACUUCGAAUAAUUACCAGGGAAAAAGGGGAGCCAGGGGCAGGCAGAAGCAGUGGGUGGGAACCCAGCAGAGAACACCGUUUGCCUGUAGGAGGUAUGGUGUCUAUACAAAUGCUGGUGCAAUAAAGGCACUUGAUCCCAUGGAGGACUACCUUCAUCAUCUGUUCUCUCAAACCUUGCUCCAGAAAAAGGGGACUUUUACUUGCCUAAGUGAUGUUUUACAUUAUUUCAUUCCUUAUCCACAACACCUAACAUCUUCCAUCUCUCCCUUUCUUCCUUCAGAGUACAGGUUGUCCCAAUCUCAGAGUUCAGAGAAAAAUAAACAGAAACUUUCUAUGUUGU